RNAcentral lists this Y RNA (110 nucleotides) under Aotus nancymaae (Ma's night monkey). RNAcentral's name for it is "Y RNA (ENSANAG00000000551.1)". It matches the Rfam family "Y RNA". Rfam says of the family: Y RNAs are components of the Ro ribonucleoprotein particle (Ro RNP), in association with Ro60 and La proteins. The record is from Rfam by way of RNAcentral. Lineage: Eukaryota; Metazoa; Chordata; Mammalia; Primates; Aotidae.
GACGCCAAAGGUAGUGAGUUAUCUCAAUUGAUUGUUCACAGUCAGUUACAGAUCGAACUCCUUGUUCUACUCUUUCCCUGCUUCUCACUACUGCACUAGACUAGUCUUUU